Molecule: long non-coding RNA, 1288 nt
Organism: Carassius carassius (crucian carp)
Lineage: Eukaryota; Metazoa; Chordata; Actinopteri; Cypriniformes; Cyprinidae
Exons: 2
Source: RefSeq, a predicted model, not a curated record
CUUUGUUCUGAUGAAGAAACAUACUCAUCUACAUCUUCAAUGGCUUGAGGACGAGAAACAUUUAGCACAUUUUUAUUUUUGGAUUAAGUAUGACUAUAAGCAUGCAUUUAAAUUGGAUUGUGAAAGGUUGAAAUAUCAGGGCUUGGUGACAUUAUAACACUUUGAUAAACAGUUUUUCUCCUUGGAAUAACACACACUAAUGAACCAUGCAUGAUAAAACCAGGAACAUGAAGUAAUUAAACGGCAUCAAUGAUGUUGACUGUAGGGCUCUUCAGUGGAAAGACAAAUAUCACGGGUUCAGUUUCAUGAACUCAUAACCCAGGCGCUUGAAAUUGUGAAAAAGUGACAAGAGACAGAUAACAAAGACUGCACCUUCUUGAAUUCCUCACAUUCAGUGCAGUGAUAAUGGGAUGAAGCAAAGUUUCUCAGUGACCUUCAGCUCUCAUUCUCUGACUGUCAUAACCAGAUACAUUGUACAAUAAUGUGCUAACUUUGAAUAGAAACACAAUCAUACACCUAGAGGCCUGGGAUGAAUCUUUUAUAUACAGUAGGUCAGUGUCUAUAAUGACUGCCUGUGGAUAACACAUUAUCAGUUCACAGUGUUCCUGGUUACAGCAUGAUGAUUGUGUGUGUGUGUGUGUGUGUGUGUGUGUGUGUACCAGCCGCUUCCACAGGUGCAGUGGCAUUCCAGAGGCACACUUUCACAUCCACUGUCAUGUGUGAUUUCAUCUAGAUGUCAUUUGAUGAAUCUAUUUUUUGAGGUAGUGUGGCAGCAUUACUGAACAUUCAGUGGACAUUUUUAUACCAUGUUUUAUAUCGUCCUUCAUCAGCAUCAAAUUCAAGCAACUUGACUCCGAUUAGUCUGUGCUUUUACGGACUUAUACAAGCUCUUGCAGAGUAUAAUUAAGAAGAUAAAUUAUAUUAUCGGUCAAAUACAUUUUAAUGUAGAUAUGUUAGUAAAACAAUAUUUAUUUAUAUUAGUUAAUGUUGAAAGUUUUAGAUAUAAUGCUAUGUUCAAUAUGAAAUCGUACUUGUUUAAUAUUUUGCAUUUAUCAUUUAUUUUAUUUUAUUAUCAUUUUUUUAUUAUUUUAUUUUAUUUAUUUUUAUUUUGCACUGAGUGUAUUCUGAACCCUGCAACAUUUCACUGAAGGAUUUGUGCAUUUGUGUUUGAAAAACAUUGCAUCAGUAUCUUUUGAUUUUCUGUCAUCUCUCGAUGUAAAACACAGAAAUGAAACAGUCUCUCAUCCGCAUACUGCAAUAAACACAAUCUACACGCUGAGUUGAGAUG